This 976-nucleotide ribosomal RNA is filed under the name Halorubrum sp. Its description in RNAcentral is "bacterial SSU rRNA". It matches the Rfam family "Archaeal small subunit ribosomal RNA", at positions 353 to 1327 of the family's 1478-position model. Lineage: Archaea; Methanobacteriati; Methanobacteriota; Halobacteria; Halobacteriales; Haloferacaceae. The record is from RNAcentral.
CACUGCACGACAGUGCGAUAAGGGAAUCCCAAGUGCGCAGGCAUAGAGCCUGCGCUUUUGUCCACCGUAGGGAGGUGGACGAAUAAGGGCUGGGCAAGACCGGUGCCAGCCGCCGCGGUAAUACCGGCAGCCCGAGUGAUGGCCGAUCUUAUUGGGCCUAAAGCGUCCGUAGCUGGCCGCACAAGUCUAUCGGAAAAUCCACCCGCUCAACGGGUGGGCGUCCGGUAGAAACUGUGUGGCUUGGGACCGGAAGGCGCGACGGGUACGUCCGGGGUAGGAGUGAAAUCCCGUAAUCCUGGACGGACCGCCGAUGGCGAAAGCACGUCGCGAAGACGGAUCCGACAGUGAGGGACGAAAGCUAGGGUCUCGAACCGGAUUAGAUACCCGGGUAGUCCUAGCCGUAAACAAUGCCUGCUAGGUGUGGCUCCCACUACGAGUGGGUGCUGUGCCGUAGGGAAGCCGCUAAGCAGGCCGCCUGGGAAGUACGUCCGCAAGGAUGAAACUUAAAGGAAUUGGCGGGGGAGCACUACAACCGGAGGAGCCUGCGGUUUAAUUGGACUCAACGCCGGACAUCUCACCAGCAUCGACUGUAGUAAUGACGAUCAGGUUGAUGACCUUAUCCGAGCUUCAGAGAGGAGGUGCAUGGCCGCCGUCAGCUCGUACCGUGAGGCGUCCUGUUAAGUCAGGCAACGAGCGAGACCCGCAUCCUUACUUGCCAGCAGCACUGCGAAGUGGCUGGGGACAGUAGGGAGACCGCCGUGGCCAACACGGAGGAAGGAACGGGCAACGGUAGGUCAGUAUGCCCCGAAUGUGCUGGGCAACACGCGGGCUACAAUGGUCGAGACAAAGGGUUCCUACUCCGAAAGGAGACGGUAAUCUCAGAAACUCGAUCGUAGUUCGGAUUGUGGGCUGCAACUCGCCCACAUGAAGCUGGAUUCGGUAGUAAUCGCGUGUCAUAAGCGCGCGGUGAAUACGU